GGGAGGGGUGCGAGCGUUAAUCGGAAUUACUGGGCGUAAAGCGCGCGUAGGCGGCUAGGUCAGUCGGGAUGUGAAAGCCCCGGGCUUAACCUGGGAAUUGCAUUCGAAACUGCCCUGGCUAGAGUAUGGGAGAGGGAAGCGGAAUUUCCGGUGUAGCGGUGAAAUGCGUAGAUAUCGGAAGGAACACCAGUGGCGAAGGCGGCUUCCUGGCCCAAUACUGACGCUCAGGUGCGAAAGCGUGGGUAGCGAACAGGAUUAGAUACCCUGGUAGUCCACGCCGUAAACGAUGAGAACUAGAUGUCGGGAGGAUUUACCUUUCGGUGUCGCAGCUAACGCAUUAAGUUCUCCGCCUGGGGAGUACGCCGGCAACGGUA
Molecule: ribosomal RNA, 374 nt
Filed under: uncultured organism
Description: partial 16S ribosomal RNA
Rfam family: Bacterial small subunit ribosomal RNA
Source: RNAcentral